Molecule: unclassified non-coding RNA, 402 nt
Filed under: soil metagenome
Description: partial contains 5.8S ribosomal RNA, internal transcribed spacer 2, and large subunit ribosomal RNA
Rfam family: 5.8S ribosomal RNA (bases 1-121)
Source: RNAcentral
GAUGAAGAACGUAGCGAAAUGCGAUAAGUAAUGUGAAUUGCAGAAUUCAGUGAAUCAUCGAAUCUUUGAACGCACCUUGCGCCCUUUGGCUAUUCCGAAGGGCAUGCCUGUUUGAGUAUCAUGAACACCUCAACUCUUUAUGGUUUUCCAUGAAGGGCUUGGACUUUGGGGGUCUUGCUGGCCUUAGUCAGCUCCUCUCAAACGAAUCAGCUUUCCAGUGUUUGGCAGCGUCACAGGUGUGAUAACUAUCUACGCUUGUGGUUUUCUGCCAGGUAAUCCUCAGUGAUGGGGAUUCGCUGGGGCUUAUAAAUGUCUCUCCUCAGCGAAGACAGCUUUGUGAACGUUUGAUCUCAAAUCAGGUAGGACUACCCGCUGAACUUAAGCAUAUCAAUAAGCGGAGGA